CUCUCUCUCUCUCUAUCUCUCUCCAAAGAAAACAAUUGGAACUUGGACCACAAUAAAAGAAGUUGCAAAAAAAAUAUUUGAGAAUAUCCAAAGUCCAAAGUCUCCUACCAGAAUGAAGGAGGUUAUUUGAUGGGGAAAGAUGCAUAAUUUCUAUAUCAUUUAGGCGUCUGGAAAUAUGAGAAUUCCAAUAGAGUUGUAAGAGGAAGCUAGAAAAUUGUGCACUAGGGGGAGCAGAUAGGUCUUAUUCGUAAGAUUUUCACUGAACCACCAUCAUUUAUGCUAGUUCUGGUGUUGCAUAAUGGACAGCUGAACUGCUCAUACAAUGUUAUUCUUAGAGGGCAAAGGUUUUAAGCAGUUAUGCCAAUAAGGUUGUCAAUGAAUAUGAUCUAGCUAUCUGGCUUGUCAUCAGUAACUGCUUGUAGUGGGUGGAGAGUUGGUGAAAUUCCUUUGGCAGUAAUGGUUCAAUAAUAAGUGUGGAUAGAUUGACACCCUGAUAAUCGUUUAUCAAGUCUUUGGUUUCAUUCUGUGCUGGAGAAAAAUAUUAGAGAAUUUUGAGUUAAUGUUGGAGGUCUUUUUAACUGAUCUUCUUAAUUUAGUUUGUACAUAAGGACUUAUCCUAAUUGUGGAAGUGCAUUUUUGUCUGUUUAAGGCUAAAUCCCAUACAAAGCUCAAACAAGUUCUAGUCAGUUUUGGUCAAGCUCAGCUUUGUUGAGCUAGACAAGAACAAAAAUUUUAAAUAAUUAAGGCUGAAUAUUAGGCAAAAACAAAUACUUGGGGCCACAUUAAAUUUAUAAAAAUAUAAAUGAACUCUGAAAUGGGUUGAAAAUGAUCUUGUUAUGAAUGUUAUCAAGCCAACUUCAUGUUUAUUCAUUUACUAGGCAAGCUUCUAAUUUCUGUUACUUCACAAUCGGACAAACAAAUUUUUUGAGCUCAUUCAUGAGCGUUUCAGUAAACGUACUAGUUUGUGGUACCCUCAACCAAAAUAAAUGAGUUUCAACAUUUGAAGGAUCGUGAUUUUGGUAUGAUUAGUACUUUGUCCCUUCUUUAAUAGAUGAGUGCUAAAUGAAGUAGGACAAAAGCAUUAAAUAAGGCUAGAACAAAUUUAAACAUAAAACAUCCUAGAAUCCACAAUGAAAAUAAAUUCUAGUCCGCCAGUGUAAAAUAGCUUAAAUUUUAUUUUAAUUUGACAAUCUCCCCAACUAGCACAUAAGAUGCUUAUAUGAUUAAAAAUCCUAGUUUUAUGUGGCCAAGUUUAUUAAAAUAGGAAUUCUGAAAUUACUUGAAAUAUUAAGAAAUUAAAAUCUUAGGGCUGAUUUUGUAUCCAUUCUAUUUUUGGUUUUUGUUGUCCGAUUGUCAAAGAAAUUUAUAUAAAUAA
This 1375-nucleotide unclassified non-coding RNA is filed under the name Hevea brasiliensis (rubber tree). The record is from RNAcentral. Lineage: Eukaryota; Viridiplantae; Streptophyta; Magnoliopsida; Malpighiales; Euphorbiaceae.